RNAcentral lists this ribosomal RNA (507 nucleotides) under uncultured bacterium. Its description in RNAcentral is "bacterial SSU rRNA". It matches the Rfam family "Bacterial small subunit ribosomal RNA", at positions 997 to 1509 of the family's 1533-position model. The record is from RNAcentral.
GGACUAGAGAUAGUCCUUUCUCUUCGGAGACCUCGGUGACAGGUGGUGCAUGGUUGUCGUCAGCUCGUGUCGUGAGAUGUUGGGUUAAGUCCCGCAACGAGCGCAACCCUUAUUGUUAGUUGCUACGCAAGAGCACUCUAGCGAGACUGCCGUUGACAAAACGGAGGAAGGUGGGGACGACGUCAAAUCAUCAUGCCCCUUAUGUCCUGGGCCACACACGUACUACAAUGGUGGUAAACAGAGGGAAGCAAGACCGCGAGGUGGAGCAAAUCCCUAAAAGCCAUCCCAGUUCGGAUCGCAGGCUGCAACCCGCCUGCGUGAAGUUGGAAUCGCUAGUAAUCGCGGAUCAGCAUGCCGCGGUGAAUACGUUCCCGGGCCUUGUACACACCGCCCGUCACACCAUGAGAGUCGGGAACACCCGAAGUCCGUAGCCUAACCGCAAGGGGGGCGCGGCCGAAGGUGGGUUCGAUAAUUGGGGUGAAGUCGUAACAAGGUAGCCGUAUCGGA